AGCAGCCGCGGUAAUUCCAGCUCCAAUAGCGUAUAUUAAAGUUGUUGCAGUUAAAAAGCUCGUAGUUGAAUUUCGGGGUCAGUAGAUUGGUCGUGCCACUGGUAUGCACUGGUCUUACUAGCUCCUCCUUCCUGAUGAACCGUAAUGCCAUUAAUUUGGUGUUGCGGGGAGACUGGACUGUUACUUUGAAAAAAUUAGAGUGUUUAAAGCAGGCUAACGUUUGAAUACAUUAGCAUGGAAUAAUGAAAUAGGACGUUCGAUCUUAUUUUGUUGGUUUCUAAGAUUGACGUAAUGAUUAAUAGGGAUAGUUGGGGGCAUUAGUAUUCAAUUGUCAGAGGUGAAAUUCUUGGAUUUAUUGAAGACUAACUACUGCGAAAGCAUUUGCCAAGGAUGUUUUCAUUAAUCAAGAACGAAAGUUAGGGGAUCGAAGACGAUCAGAUACCGUCGUAGUCUUAACCAUAAACUAUGCCGGCUAGGGAUCGGAUGAUGUUUAAUUUUUAAUGACUCAUUCGGCGCCUUA
Molecule: ribosomal RNA, 520 nt
Filed under: uncultured Glomus
Lineage: Eukaryota; Fungi; Glomeromycota; Glomeromycetes; Glomerales; Glomeraceae
Description: SSU rRNA
Rfam family: Eukaryotic small subunit ribosomal RNA
Source: RNAcentral